UGAAAAUAACGACGAAGCCUUCAUAUAAAUUUGGGGAUAUGGCCCAAGAGUUUCUACCCGGACACCGUAAAUGACCGGACUAUGAGGGAAAGUGGAUUAACC
This 102-nucleotide non-coding RNA is filed under the name Bacillus sp. (in: firmicutes). RNAcentral describes it as "Bacillus sp. Guanine sequence". It matches the Rfam family "Purine riboswitch aptamer". From Rfam's summary of the family: Riboswitches are metabolite binding domains within certain messenger RNAs that serve as precision sensors for their corresponding targets. Allosteric rearrangement of mRNA structure is mediated by ligand binding, and this results in modulation of gene expression. RNAcentral also lists the same sequence under 1 other name. The record is from RNAcentral. Lineage: Bacteria; Bacillati; Bacillota; Bacilli; Caryophanales; Bacillaceae.